This 449-nucleotide ribosomal RNA is filed under the name Streptococcus anginosus. RNAcentral's name for it is "bacterial SSU rRNA". It matches the Rfam family "Bacterial small subunit ribosomal RNA", at positions 28 to 459 of the family's 1533-position model. Lineage: Bacteria; Bacillati; Bacillota; Bacilli; Lactobacillales; Streptococcaceae. The record is from RNAcentral.
GACGAACGCUGGCGGCGUGCCUAAUACAUGCAAGUAGGACGCACAGCCUAUACCGUAGCUUGCUACACCAUAGGCUGUGAGUUGCGAACGGGUGAGUAACGCGUAGGUAACCUGCCUAUUAGAGGGGGAUAACUAUUGGAAACGAUAGCUAAUACCGCAUAACAGUAUGUAACACAUGUUAGAUGCUUGAAAGAUGCAAUUGCAUCGCUAGUAGAUGGACCUGCGUUGUAUUAGCUAGUAGGUAGGGUAAUGGCCUACCUAGGCAACGAUACAUAGCCGACCUGAGAGGGUGAUCGGCCACACUGGGACUGAGACACGGCCCAGGCUCCUACGGGAGGCAGCAGUAGGGAAUCUUCGGCGAUGGGGGGGACCCUGACCGAGCAACGCCGCGUGAGUGAAGAAGGUUUUCGGAUCGUAAAGCUCUGUUGUUAAGGAAGAACGAGUGUGAG